RNAcentral lists this ribosomal RNA (377 nucleotides) under uncultured delta proteobacterium. RNAcentral describes it as "bacterial SSU rRNA". It matches the Rfam family "Bacterial small subunit ribosomal RNA", at positions 521 to 896 of the family's 1533-position model. Lineage: Bacteria; Deltaproteobacteria. The record is from RNAcentral.
UAAUACGGAGGGCGCAAGCGUUGUUCGGAAUUAUUGGGCGUAAAGCGCGUGUAGGCGGCUAGACAAGUCGGGUGUGAAAUCCCGGGGCUCAACCCCGGAAUUGCACUCGAAACUAUCUGGCUAGAGUCCCGGAGAGGAGGGCGGAAUUCCCGGUGUAGAGGUGAAAUUCGUAGAUAUCGGGAGGAACAUCAGUGGCGAAGGCGGCCCUCUGGACGGUGACUGACGCUCAGACGCGAAAGCGUGGGGAGCAAACAGGAUUAGAUACCCUGGUAGUCCACGCCGUAAACGUUGGGUGCUAGGUGUCGCGGGUAUUGACCCCUGCGGUGCCGGCGUUAACGCAUUUAGCACCCCGCCUGGGGAGUACGGUCGCAAGGCUA